Molecule: ribosomal RNA, 230 nt
Filed under: uncultured bacterium
Lineage: Bacteria
Description: partial 16S ribosomal RNA
Rfam family: Bacterial small subunit ribosomal RNA
Source: RNAcentral
AAAGCGUGCGCAGGCGGUUAUGUAAGACAGAGGUGAAAUCCCCGGGCUCAACCUGGGAACUGCCUUUGUGACUGCAUAGCUAGAGUACGGUAGAGGGGGAUGGAAUUCCGCGUGUAGCAGUGAAAUGCGUAGAUAUGCGGAGGAACACCGAUGGCGAAGGCAAUCCCCUGGACCUGUACUGACGCUCAUGCACGAAAGCGUGGGGAGCAAACAGGAUUAGAUACCCCGGU